This 689-nucleotide long non-coding RNA is filed under the name Mus musculus (house mouse). RNAcentral describes it as "long non-coding RNA chr8:8852130-8852819". The record is from RNAcentral. Lineage: Eukaryota; Metazoa; Chordata; Mammalia; Rodentia; Muridae.
UAUUCUUGUCUGAUGUAUAUGAAUCCCUUAAGGCUAUAUGGCUGUGGUUUGAUGGUCAUGGCUUGGUUCUGGAACAGGAUAGAUUAAACAGCACUGCUCCAGAGAAAUGGUUCAAUCACUACUCUUCAACCAUUUGUCCAACACACAGGCUGAGUGACAGCUGUCCGUCGGUCCCUGUGCCACUGAUUUCCAGGGAUAUCAAAACAAAUGAGUCCAGGACUCUGCCAAAGAAAACAUAGUCCCAGCACUGUAGCCUCAGACAUAAAUGUCUAACUCUGAUGUCCCACAGUUGUUAGGAAUGGACGAGUGUUGGUGAAGUGGGAAUGCAGAGAAAGUAAUAGACAGGAGUGGGGGCAACACAGUUAGCAUUUGAAAAUGGACGGAUUCUGAUUUGUUAGAGAAGAGAGAGAAAAAGGAAUGGCAGUCCAGGCAAGAGACAAAGACACAUGGAGAGCUGACAGAAGAAUAAAUAGUUUGAUCAUGUUUGAAGUGAUCCAGGAAGACGGAAACAACAUUUGCCAUUUAACCCCAGCUUAGCUGGUCAUGGACAGCCAUUGCACAGGUGGUGCUGUGUGGCCACUGGGUAUCCGUUUCUUUCUUUUAGACCUGAGCUGGAAGUGGCACUUCAGAAUCAGGACCCAAGCUAUGUAAACAGCUGCACAGGCUUCACAAUAACCUUGUUUCCCCAU